UUUUCGACAUUCUCGCCACACUAUACAUCUUUCACGACGAUCUCCUUCUCCUUCCCAUGUACAUAGUAUCAAGAAGGAGAAAAGGCCGCAUGAACCUUCUCCUUCUCCAUCUUCAAAUUUUUUGAGGGACUCUAUCUCUGGAUUAUCUCAGCAACGACGACUCGAUGACUACGAGUGCAAAUUCAAAGAAAUCGACCGCCAACUUGUCCGACUUCAGGUGCA
Molecule: long non-coding RNA, 222 nt
Filed under: Elaeis guineensis (African oil palm)
Lineage: Eukaryota; Viridiplantae; Streptophyta; Magnoliopsida; Arecales; Arecaceae
Description: long non-coding RNA (EGUI_LNC001542)
Source: RNAcentral